Molecule: ribosomal RNA, 463 nt
Filed under: uncultured bacterium
Lineage: Bacteria
Description: partial 16S ribosomal RNA
Rfam family: Bacterial small subunit ribosomal RNA
Source: RNAcentral
GACGAACGCUGGCGGCGUGCUUAACACAUGCAAGUCGAACGGAAAGGCCCUGCUUGCAGGGUACUCGAGUGGCGAACGGGUGAGUAACACGUGGGUGAUCUGCCCUGCACUUCGGGAUAAGCCUGGGAAACUGGGUCUAAUACCGGAUAGGAGCCAUUUUUAGUGUGAUGGUUGGAAAGUUUUUUCGGUGUAGGAUGAGCUCGCGGCCUAUCAGCUUGUUGGUGGGGUAAUGGCCUACCAAGGCGGCGACGGGUAGCCGGCCUGAGGGUGGACGGCCACAUUGGGACUGAGAUACGGCCCAGACUCCUACGGGAGGCAGCAGUGGGGAAUAUUGCACAAUGGGCGCAAGCCUGAUGCAGCGACGCCGCGUGGGGGAUGACGGCCUUCGGGUUGGAAACUCCUUUCGCUAGGGACGAAGCUUUUUGUGACGGUACCUAGAUAAGAAGCACCGGCUAACUACGUG